RNAcentral lists this long non-coding RNA (483 nucleotides) under Mytilus galloprovincialis (Mediterranean mussel). Lineage: Eukaryota; Metazoa; Mollusca; Bivalvia; Mytilida; Mytilidae. The record is from RNAcentral.
UUCCCGAAGAAUUAUUAUCUUGUAAGCAAACACAUUGAAAAUCCACAGUAAUUUUUCGAUCUAGUACAAAAUACGAAAUAAUAAUAUAGUGUUGUCUUGAAUAUACACGAUUUGAGAUUGAUCGUACUGGACAUUAAGAUGUAUAGAUUCCAGUAUCCCUGGUACCGUGAAAAAGGAAGUGUUCAAAAUCCAAUUCAAGCAUAGAGUUUUCUAGUUAAAUUUAUUUGUAUGGUUACUACACGUUAGAUUAAUAAAUGUUAUAUAUGUAUGCACAACAUUGUAUCCAUUGUGCAUGUUGUAUGUUGAAGAUACGAUGUGUAGAUUCCAGUAUCCCUGUUAUCGUGAAAAAGGAAAUGUAAAAAAUCCCAAUCAAGCAUAACCUUUUUCUUUGUUACAACACGUUAUCUUAAUAAAUGUCAUAAAUAUGUAUGCACAAUAUUUUAUCCAUUGUGCAUGUUGUAUGUCAAACAAUUAUCAACCGGG